AUGAAAAUCUUAAGUUGGAACUGCCGCGGGAUAGGCGACCCCACGACAGUUUGAGAGCUCCGCGAUCUCGUGGAGAUCAGUUCGCCAGCUAUCUUGUGUUUAGUUGAAACUCAAUUACAAAAAAGUCGUGUUGAAGGUCUUCGGUCUUCUUUAGGUUAUGAUUUUAGUUUUGGAGUCAGUAGUAGUGGUCGCAGUGGCGGUCUUUGUAUCUUUUGGAAAAAUUCCUUGGAUGUUGCAAUAAAGAACUAUUCAGAGUAUCAUGUUGAUGCGUGGGUCACAGUACCAGGUAAAGAGCAGUGGAGGCUAACAUGUUUUUAUGGAGAAGCUACCAGGAGUCUACGUUACAAGACCUGGGAUACUAUGAAAAUAUUGAGGGGAGAAAGCACCCUCUCGUGGAUGUGCAUAGGUGAUUUCAAUGAGAUCGUGAGGCCUAAAGAGCAGCAUGGCCCUAAUGAACGUGACAGCUCGCAGAUUGAUGCGUUCAGAGAAACUGUUGAUGUGUGUAGAUUAGCGGACUUGGGAUACCGUGGACUAGACUGGACGUGGGAGAAGAAAGUUGCUGGAGGGCACUUCUGUCGUGUUCGCCUAGACAGAGAUUUGGCUUCGUCUUGCUGGUCUGCUCUUUUUCCUUUCGCUUCGGUUGAGCAUCUUACCGCUGCAAAGUUUGACCACUGCCCUAUUCUUCUGGAGUCCGAACUGAUUGAUACAAGCGUGUGA
This 717-nucleotide ribosomal RNA is filed under the name Triticum aestivum (bread wheat). RNAcentral describes it as "partial small subunit ribosomal RNA". Lineage: Eukaryota; Viridiplantae; Streptophyta; Magnoliopsida; Poales; Poaceae. The record is from RNAcentral.